UAAAAUUAAACAUUUCAAGUUGAUCAACGGUUGAAGAAAUUUCCCAUUGUCCAAUGUUGUCAUGUCAACUCAAUUUCUACACUUGUUACAGUGAGAAAAGAUAAUGAAAUUAUUAUCAUUUCUAUACAUCCUAGUUUAUCCAAAUAUUACAAAACAGGGCUAGCUUGUCCUACAUUACAUGAAUCAAACACAAAAUUGGACGAUCCUUUGGUCUAGUCUUGUGCUAUGCUAUCCUCUCUUUUCCAAACCAAAGGCAGCCUAAUAUCCAAAAAGAACAGACAAUGGAAUGAAUUUCUAGGAGGAAGAAUAUGGAAGUACACUAAUAUCAUUACAAGCUCAGUAGUUUAAAAAGAAAUAUAAUUGUACUCAGAAAAUCACCAGAGGAAAAAAAAAUGAGAAUGAAGACCACUGAUUCCUUGUUCUAGGGAGACAUUUGUAUGUAGCAUCUAAAACCAUCUUCAACAAAUGGCAUUAUCUCUUUAAGCUCCCAGAGAAUCUAGAAAGUGGCACAGGACCAUCAGCCUCUUCAUCAUUACCGCUGAAAAGUAUGGAUCUUGACCUGUGAUUCUUUUCCUUCUUCAUUCUCUUUGACCAGGAUUUUGAUCUUCUUGAUUCUCUUUCCUUGUCAUCACUACUUGAAGAAUCUGAAGAUGAACUCUGUAGAUGAACUUGAUGAGCUAGAUUCUGAAGAUCUCCACCUUGAAUGCAUAAGGCAUUAGUUUCUGAUCAGCAGAUUACACAAUGUGUCCGUAAUUUCAAUGGGGAGUGGGAACCUUGCCUAUAGAAUUAUUAAAACAGGUUUAAUUAUCAGAAAAUAAUUAAUUAAUCAAUUAAUUAAAGUACCAUCAAGUUCAGUGUCAUAAAUUUCAAUCAAAUAUAAAAUGGGUUAUUCUAGGGAAAAAAACAACUAAAUAAUAUUGGAAAUUCAGGCACCUUUCUCUUUCUGCUGCUGCUGCUGCUGUUUUUCUUUAAAUCUUUGUCCUUUGUAACUCUUUUAUGAUUAGGCUUGCUAGAGUGGUUCCUUCCAUGAGCAAGCUUUCUUGCCCUGUCAGCAACUCAGCAUCAAGUUGAGCUCUGUACUCUCGCAUCAUUCUAUCUGUAUCAGCUUCCAAUUCCCCCCUUUUCAUUUCAUCCUC
This 1136-nucleotide unclassified non-coding RNA is filed under the name Hevea brasiliensis (rubber tree). Lineage: Eukaryota; Viridiplantae; Streptophyta; Magnoliopsida; Malpighiales; Euphorbiaceae. The record is from RNAcentral.